Molecule: long non-coding RNA, 396 nt
Filed under: Hordeum vulgare
Lineage: Eukaryota; Viridiplantae; Streptophyta; Magnoliopsida; Poales; Poaceae
Description: long non-coding RNA (HVUL_LNC019776)
Source: RNAcentral
GAGGGGGAGUGAGGGGUCGGGAGUGAGGAAGAGAGAGGGAGCGCACAGGGUGGAUAAGGCGGGUUGGCGACGACGACAGGCUCGGGGCGACGGUGACGGCAAGGAGGAGGACGUGCUCGGGGGCAACGGCGAUGACGACGAGGAGGACGGGCUCGUGGUGGCGGCGAUGAUGAGGAGGACGACGGGCUCGGGACGGCAGCGACAACGAGGAGGAUGGGCUCAGGGAAAAUGAGAGAGUUUGGGGGGAAUUUCGACAACUCCCGCCUAUAUGCGAAAACCAGUUGUCCCGGUUCGAGGCAAAAACUGAGACCAAUGUACCCCUAUCAUCCCGGUUUGUGCUGCAAACCGGGACUAAAGGCCAAUUUCCAGCAGCCGAAAGGGCAGGAAGAAGAGACC